UUAGGCAAAUCCGGCACUCUUAAGAUUGAGCUGUGAUGGGGAGAGGAACUUGUUCCUCGAGUCGUUGAUUUCACACUGCCGAGAAAAGCCUCUAGCUAGAAUAACGGUGCCCGUACCGCAAACCGACACAGGUAGUCAAGAUGAGAAUUCUAAGGUGAGCGAGCGAACUCUCGUUAAGGAACUCGGCAAAAUGACCCCGUAACUUCGGGAGAAGGGGUGCUCUUUGAGGUUCACGCUUCGAAGAGCCGCAGUGAAUAGGCCCAAGCGACUGUUUAUCAAAAACACAGGUCUCUGCUAAACCGUAAGGUGACGUAUAGGGGCUGACGCCUGCCCGGUGCUGGAAGGUUAAGAGGAGUGGUUAGCGCAAGCGAAGCUACGAAUCGAAGCCCCAGUAAACGGCGGCCGUAACUAUAACGGUCCUAAGGUAGCGAAAUUCCUUGUCGGGUAAGUUCCGACCCGCACGAAAGGCGUAACGAUUUGGGCACUGUCUCAACGAGAGACUCGGUGAAAUCAUAGUACCGGUGAAGAUGCCGGUUACCCGCGACAGGACGGAAAGACCCCGUGGAGCUUUACUGUAGCCUGAUAUUGAAAUUCGGUACAGUUUGUACAGGAUAGGUAGGAGCCUUAGAAGCGUGAGCGCUAGCUUACGUGGAGGCAUUGGUGGGAUACUACCCUAAUUGUAUUGGAUUUCUAACCCGCAGCACUUAUCGUGCUGGGAGACAGUGUCAGGCGGGCAGUUUGACUGGGGCGGUCGCCUCCUAAAGAGUAACGGAGGCGCUCAAAGGUUCCCUCAGAAUGGUUGGAAAUCAUUCAUAGAGUGUAAAGGCAUAAGGGAGCUUGACUGCGAGACCUACAAGUCGAGCAGGGUCGAAAGACGGACUUAGUGAUCCGGUGGUUCCGCAUGGAAGGGCCAUCGCUCAACGGAUAAAAGCUACCCCGGGGAUAACAGGCUUAUCUCCCCCAAGAGUUCACAUCGACGGGGAGGUUUGGCACCUCGAUGUCGGCUCAUCGCAUCCUGGGGCUGUAGUCGGUCCCAAGGGUUGGGCUGUUCGCCCAUUAAAGCGGUACGCGAGCUGGGUUCAGAACGUCGUGAGACAGUUCGGUCCCUAUCCGUCGUGGGCGUAGGAAAUUUGAGAGGAGCUGUCCUUAGUACGAGAGGACCGGGAUGGACAUACCUCUGGUGUACCAGUUGUCGUGCCAACGGCAUAGCUGGGUAGCUAUGUAUGGACGGGAUAAGUGCUGAAAGCAUCUAAGCAUGAAGCCCCCCUCGAGAUGAGAUUUCCCAACUUCGGUUAUAAGAUCCCUCAAAGAUGAUGAGGUGAAUAGGUUCGAGGUGGAAGCGUAGUGAUACGUGGAGCUGACGAAUACUAAUCGAUCGAAGACUUAAUCAA
RNAcentral lists this ribosomal RNA (1391 nucleotides) under Staphylococcus pseudintermedius. RNAcentral's name for it is "partial 23S ribosomal RNA". It matches the Rfam family "Bacterial large subunit ribosomal RNA", at positions 1532 to 2925 of the family's 2925-position model. The record is from RNAcentral. Lineage: Bacteria; Bacillati; Bacillota; Bacilli; Caryophanales; Staphylococcaceae.